AGUGAACGCUGGCGGUAGGCCUAACACAUGCAAGUCGAACGGCAGCACAGUAAGAGCUUGCUCUUACGGGUGGCGAGUGGCGGACGGGUGAGGAAUACAUCGGAAUCUACUUUUUCGUGGGGGAUAACGUAGGGAAACUUACGCUAAUACCGCAUACGACCUACGGGUGAAAGCAGGGGAUCUUCGGACCUUGCGCGAUUGAAUGAGCCGAUGUCGGAUUAGCUAGUUGGCGGGGUAAAGGCCCACCAAGGCGACGAUCCGUAGCUGGUCUGAGAGGAUGAUCGGCCACACUGGAACUUGGACACGGUCCAGACUCCUACGGGAGGCAGCAGUGGGGAAUAUUAGACAAUGGGCGCAAGCCUGAUCCAGCCAUACCGCGUGGGUGAAGAAGGCCUUCGGGUUGUAAAGCCCUUUUGUGGGGAAAGAAAAGCAGCAGGUUAAUACCCCGCUGUUCUGACGGUACCCAAAGAAUAAGCACCGGCUAACUUCGUG
This 492-nucleotide ribosomal RNA is filed under the name uncultured bacterium. RNAcentral's name for it is "partial 16S ribosomal RNA". It matches the Rfam family "Bacterial small subunit ribosomal RNA", at positions 29 to 507 of the family's 1533-position model. The record is from RNAcentral.